UGUUUUCCCCUCAGGAUACCUGAAGCUCUGGCAGCUCAGCAAGCCCAAGCUGUCGGGAUACGACGCCGUUUUCGUGGAUGAGGCCCAGGAUUGCACUCCAGCCAUCGUGGACGUGGUGCUGUCCCAGCCGUGCGGGAUCAUCCUGGUGGGAGACCCUCACCAGCAGAUCUACACCUUCCGCGGCGCCGUCAACACCCUGCAGGCCGUGCCCCACACCCACGUCUACUACCUGACCCAGAGUUUCCGAUUUGGUCCCGAGAUUGCUUAUGUUGGAGCAACAAUCCUGGAUGUUUGCAAAGGGAUCCGGAAUAAGACGUUGGUGGGUGGGAACCAAAAGGGUGAGUUGUGCUCUCUCAGCUCAGGGCCAUUGAAUAAAAUUAAUUUUAAUAAAUAAUAAUUAAUUUUAUUCACUAAUAACACCAUAAAUAGUAAAUAUGAAUAUCGAUUGUAAUAAAUUAAAUUAAUAAAAUUCGAUUAUAAAAUGUAAAUUCAGGU
Molecule: long non-coding RNA, 495 nt
Organism: Pipra filicauda (Wire-tailed manakin)
Lineage: Eukaryota; Metazoa; Chordata; Aves; Passeriformes; Pipridae
Exons: 3
Source: RefSeq, a predicted model, not a curated record